This 230-nucleotide unclassified non-coding RNA is filed under the name plant metagenome. RNAcentral describes it as "partial contains small subunit ribosomal RNA, internal transcribed spacer 1, and 5.8S ribosomal RNA". The record is from RNAcentral.
UCUCCGUAGGUGAACCUGCGGAGGGAUCAUUACCGAGCUCAUGCCCUUGCGGGUAUAUCUCGCACCCUGUGCUAUUAUUACCUUUGUUGCUUUGGCGGGCCUCCAGGCUCCGGUCAGUCUAUCGGCUUCGGCUGGUAAGCGCCCGCCAGAGGAACCUAUAUCCUGAUUUCUAGUGUCGUCUGAAUACUAUAUAAUAGUUAAAACUUUCAACAACGGAUCUCUUGGUUCUG